ACUGUCAGCUGCUCAGAAGUUUCUGGUGGGAGCAAAAGGGGUUGAUUUCUGCCAUUCCUGGAGCCGUUCCCAUCACUGAGUGAGAGAGAGGAGCUGGGAGAGGAGCUGCUUCCUUCUCGCCUCUGCUUUCCUCUGCCGGGGUUAGCAGAAAGGUUGAUCUCCAGAUGAUGCAGUUAAGGGCUUCAAGGACACCAGCAGGCCUUUCUCUCCUGGGCGCCUUCAGCAUCAUAGCAGGUACAGGAUAAAGAUCAUGAUGGAGGGCCUGGUCUCCACUUGGCCUAGCAGCCUUCCCUGAGCUGGGCCUGUGCCAAAGUAAAAGUGCCCAGGAGAAGGAGUGGGAAUCGGAAAAGAAUGAAGGCGAAGCAAGCAAUGGAGGAUCCUGAUAGCUGUGUCUCCUGAUCCAUACUACAGUCCUGUAAGUGUUGAAGAACCUCUUGAAUUUGUCUUCCCAGAAGAUGGAGAGGUAAGUCUGACUCCUACCACCUCCAGAGGCCAGACUGUCAGAGAGCUACAUAGGAAAAGACAGCAGUCCACAGAUAUCAAAGGUGUUGAAAAAGGAGCGUACUUCCUCUCUGUUGCUACUGAGCGCAGCACUGAACGCUGCCAAUACGAGAAUGCAGGUUUAGGCUAGGCAGUAGGAAUGCUUUCCCAAAUGGGAGAAGGGUUGCCAAGGUCACCUCAUGGAGUCCUGGGCUCCUCUUUGCUGAUGGUUUUCAGACAGAAGCCAGAUAACGAUGAUCUCCAAGGAGCCUUCCCACUCUAAAAUGCAAAGAUUCUGCUGUGAUCGUCACAUUGAGUCUGCAAGGGAUCUGCAAGUCCCGCCCCCCCGACACCCAGACUGAUUCUAUUUGCCCCCCAAGUUGACUGCAGUUAUGAGGAAGCAGAUUUAAGCUAAGCCUUGAGAAUAAUUUCCCACGGGAGAGAUGUCUGCAGAGGCACACACAACCAUCCCAAGUACAGAUAUAGAUAGUAUAGAGGUACACUCGCACAUAUACUUGUGAACACUUUUUUAAUGUCAAUAAUUGGUAAAGAGGGACCAGUGAUGCAUGGAUUUAUUUUUCUGAUUGAAUCCCUUCCCUUGAUGGGAGUUGCAGCCCAACAACAUCUGGGACCAAGUUUGAGAAUCUCUUGUCUGUUGGCUUCCCAGAGGCAUCCAGUGAGCCCCUAUGGGGAAACAGCAUGCUGGAUUAGAUAGGCCUUGGGUCUGAUCCAGCAGGGCUGUUAGGUUCUUAACAGUCAGGUAUGAUGGGAGUUGUAGUCCAACUUCUAUUUCCAGUCAUUCUCUUCAGCCUGACCUACUUUACAGGACUAUUGUGAGGAUAGAAGAAUUGCAUAUUUGGAGGUCCCGGCAGUAAGGGCAGAUAUAAAUUCCAGAAGCCAAGGGUUCUUAAAAUUGGGUCCCCAGAUGUUUUGGGACUAGAAUUCCCAUCAUCCUCAGCUACAAAACCUUGCAGGAGUAUUGCAUGUCUUGUUGAUCAAAAGGGAAUCAUGCAUGUUUGGAAUGGAAGGGUCCUUGUAAGAGCCCUGAAAAGUCAGAAGUUAGAUUACACAGAAGUUAUAUUAGAAGUUACAAAUAUUUUAAAGUUGAUGCUUAUGCUUUAUUUUAAAAAUAUUUAUAUAUUUCAUAUUGAAAAGACUCUUGGUUAAAACAACGCAGGGUUGUGUACAGCCCAUCGGAUCCCUCUACUACCUCUUGGUUUCUCCCAAGACGUGCUCAAGAGAGAUUUCCAUAGAGAUCUGCUUGCACAGACAUUACACUUUCAUCUUGCUUCUGCAUCCUUGCAAUAGCUGCCACUUGAAGCACUAGAGGGGUGGGGAGGGAUAGCUAUUCACAGCAAUUAGCCAAGAAGCUAGGGAUGACCCACCUGUAGCUCAGCAGCUGCUGUUGGACUAGAAUUCGCAUCAUCCCCAGCUGCUGUGUUGAGACUACAGAUGAUCACCCCCAUCAAAACAGGUGGCUGGGGAUGGUAGAAGUUUUAGUAUGGUGGGAGUUGUAAUCCAACACAGUGAUAACAAAUAUAGUCCCCUGAUGCAAAUCCAUGGUGAAAAGCAUCGUGAAAGAAAGCAUCAGGGUUUGGGCAACAGCUUGUAUAAGGGGGCUGGAUAAAGAAAUCAACAUGAAAAUAGGAAGGUUGAAACUAAGGGCGAAUAAGGGAAGGCCAUUAAAGUAACACAUUGAUCUGAAUUUAAGAUGCUAUUACCCCAAAUGAUUUGAUGUUAAAACUCAGGGUCACGACGUAAAUUCAGAAUCCUGCUGUUUUAGGUAAGUAAAUGUUUAACAUAUAUUAAACUGCCACCCAUUCCUGGAGGGCCGGCUGCCCGUUGGUUCUUUCCUCCUGCCUCCCAAAUGACUUGAUGUUAAAAUUCAGGUUCAUGACAUAAAUUCAGAAUCCUGCUGUUUUAGGUAAGUAAAUGUUUAACAUAUAUUAAACUGCCACCCAUUCCUGGAGGGCCAUUCGCCCGUUUGUUCCCUCCUCCUCUUGCCGGACCCCACAAGGCUUGGCGUUCCCUCCUCCUCUUGCCGGACCCCACAAGGCUUGGCGUUCCCUCCUCCUCUUGCCGGACCCCACAAGGCUUGGCGUUCCCUCCUCCUCUUGCCGGACCCCACAAGGCUUGGCGUUCCCUCCUCCUCUUGCCGGACCCCACAAGGCUUGGCGUUCCCUCCUCCUCUUGCCGGACCCCACAAGGCUUGGCGUUCCCUCCUCCUCUUGCCGGACCCCACAAGGCUUGGCGUUCCCUCCUCCUCUUGCCGGACCCCACAAGGCUUGGCGUUCCCUCCUCCUCUUGCCGGACCCCACAAGGCUUGGCGUUCCCUCCUCCUCUUGCCGGACCCCACAAGGCUUGGCGUUCCCUCCUCCUCUUGCCGGACCCCACAAGGCUUGUUUCCCCUGGAACUAUAUUUGGGGACCUUCAACUUUAUUUGGGCAAUGUCCCCCAGAAGUUUUGUAUGUGAAAUUUUUGUACUUUAAAUUGCCUCUAUCUUAAAUGGUUUCUUUAAAUUUUUGUACAGCCUAUUGGAUCCCUCUGCUGCCCUUUGAUUUCUCUUGGACCAGCUUGACAGAUGUUUCCGUAGUAGUCUCUUUCCACAUGUUUCAUGUUUCUGCUGCUUGUUUGCUGUAGCUGCCACUUGAGCCCUCAUGCUAAAUAUGCUAAAUAAAAUAAAUGUGUGGUUUUGUGGGGCAGCGGGUGGGGCUAUCUAUUCACAGCAUUUAGGCUCUGGCCGGGUGGAGUUGUGGUGUUAAGAGGGGGCAGGGCAGCAAACUGAUUCUCUACAGAGCAGACAUCCAAAAGCAAGAGAAAUGGCACAGAGGAAGCCGAGAGGCUAGAGAUUGCCCGACGCUUCCCAGCUCUUGUUGGAUUACAACUCCCAUCAUCCCCAGCUUCUCUUGUUCAGGACUACAGCUCCCAUCACCCCCUGCCAUAAAGCUUGGCUGGGGAUGAUAGAAGCUGUCCUCCAAUCACCCCCAGCCACCUUGUAUUGUGGCAUGAGUUGAUGGGAGUUCAACAACAGCUAGAGAACCUCAGGCUGGCCACACCUGCAAUAACAAAUACAGUCCCCUGAUGUAAAUCCAGAUCUUCUUAUGAAGAGAACCAUCACGUUUUGAGCAAUGGCUUGUUGGGGGGGCGGAUAAAUAAAUCAACAUGAAAACCAGGCAGUUGAAACAGAGGGUCGUGAAGAAAACACCACUUAAGUAGCUCACAUUUGUUUCCUUUUUCUUCUCUCUCCGCUAUACCAGCAAAGAAGAGCUUCCCUUUCAACAUCUAAGAAAGGAUCCCAUCCUGCUUCUGAUGCACUGUUAUCAACGCGAGUGCUGAGGGUUGCAUCGGCCGGGUAAAUAUGCAUUGACACAAUGACAAAUCUCUCCGGUGGCUGAGCGGAAUGGUGGGCCCUAGAGAAGGCAGGAAGAGGCUGAGGAGAGCAACCCCACAACAGAUGCCCAUUCCCUUUUUGACUAGGUUUGCAAAAGCCUCAUGUACACUCAAGGUCAUGAGGCUUUUGCAAAGAGGGGGCAUAGUUUCCCGGGAAACGACUUCACCCCAGGAGUGGAAUCCACACCUUAGUUUACAGAGCUCCCUUCAAACUAGUUACUGAAGUUGCAGCCCAGGUUUGCACCCGUUCCCUCUGUCCCAUCUCUUGAUUCCGAGUCUGGGUCCCCACCCCACCCCUUCCCCUGGCUCUGCAUCCAGUGCGGGGUGCAAAUGUCACGUCCAGUCCUGGCAGGGUGCAAGAAACAAGGCUGGACCCCACAGUGAACCAUUCUGUAAGGCCAAGCAGGGGGGCAGAGGGUGCGCUAGUGAAAGCGAUCCCCGCCCUCUCUUGGCCUUCUGCAGGGACACCUCGGCAUCCACUCACCCCCCUCAGGUGACAGUGUGGGAUUAGCCGGUCGCCAUUUGGGGCCGAGUAGGAAUUUUCCCCAUCCACCCAGAUUGGCCUGGAGGUGGCUGGUUUUUUGCCUACUCUGCACUGUUGCACUGGACGGGAUUUCUGAUCUGGCGGAUGUUAGGAGUGGUGCCGCUAAAUAGUGUAGCCCCUUGGUCACCAUGGCAGGUCCGAGGAGGGGAUGUAGUGCCCCACCCCGUUGGUGGCAGGUGCGAUUUCCCCCAGCUACACUCUAGUUCUCUGCUAAAAUGAGUCAAUAAAGUGAUGGCCCUAGUUUCAACCCA
Molecule: long non-coding RNA, 4665 nt
Organism: Hemicordylus capensis (graceful crag lizard)
Lineage: Eukaryota; Metazoa; Chordata; Lepidosauria; Squamata; Cordylidae
Exons: 3
Source: RefSeq, a predicted model, not a curated record